GAUGAAUGCUGACAGAAUGCUUAACACAUGCAAGUCAACUUGAACUUCGGUUUGGGUGGCGGACGGGUGAGUAACGCGUAAAGAACUUGCCUCACAGAUAGGGACAACAUUUGGAAACGAAUGCUAAUACCUGAUAUUAUGAUUUUAGGGCAUCCUAGGAUUAUGAAAGCUAUAUGCACUGUGAGAGAGCUUUGCGUCCCAUUAGCUAGUUGGAGAGGUAACGGCUCACCAAGGCGAUGAUGGGUAGCCGGCCUGAGAGGGUGAUCGGCCACAAGGGGACUGAGACACGGCCCUUACUCCUACGGGAGGCAGCAGUGGGGAAUAUUGGACAAUGGACCGAGAGUCUGAUCCAGCAAUUCUGUGUGCACGAUGAAGUUUUUCGGAAUGUAAAGUGCUUUCAGUUGGGAAGAAAAAAAUGACGGUACCAACAGAAGAAGUGACGGCUAAAUACGUGCCAGCAGCCGCGGUAAUACGUAUGUCACAAGCGUUAUCCGGAUUUAUUGGGCGUAAAGCGCGUCUAGGUGGUUAUGUAAGUCUGAUGUGAAAAUGCAGGGCUCAACUCUGUAUUGCGUUGGAAACUGUGUAACUAGAGUACUGGAGAGGUAAGCGGAACUACAAGUGUAGAGGUGAAAUCCGUAGAUAUUUGUAGGAAUGCCGAUGGGGAAGCCAGCUUACUGGACAGAUACUGACGCUGAAGCGCGAAAGCGUGGGUAGCAAACAGG
This 722-nucleotide ribosomal RNA is filed under the name uncultured Fusobacterium sp. RNAcentral's name for it is "bacterial SSU rRNA". It matches the Rfam family "Bacterial small subunit ribosomal RNA", at positions 28 to 776 of the family's 1533-position model. The record is from RNAcentral. Lineage: Bacteria; Fusobacteriati; Fusobacteriota; Fusobacteriia; Fusobacteriales; Fusobacteriaceae.